Molecule: ribosomal RNA, 680 nt
Filed under: uncultured bacterium
Lineage: Bacteria
Description: bacterial SSU rRNA
Rfam family: Bacterial small subunit ribosomal RNA
Source: RNAcentral
CGGGAUAACCCGGAGAAAUCCGGCCUAAUACCGCAUGUGGCCGAGGGGAGGCAUCUUCUUUCGGCCAAAGGAGGCAACUCCGGAGACGGAUGGGCAUGCGUGACAUUAGCUUGUUGGCGGGGUAACGGCCCACCAAGGCGACGAUGUCUAGGGGUUCUGAGAGGAAGGUCCCCCACACUGGUACUGAGACACGGACCAGACUCCUACGGGAGGCGGCAGUGAGGAAUAUUGGUCAAUGGGCGAGAGCCUGAACCAGCCAAGUCGCGUGAAGGAUGACGGCCCUACGGGUUGUAAACUUCUUUUGUCAGGGAGCAAUUGAGUCCACGUGUGGGCUUAGCGAGAGUACCUGAAGAAAAAGCAUCGGCUAACUCCGUGCCAGCAGCCGCGGUAAUACGGAGGAUGCGAGCGUUAUCCGGAUUUAUUGGGUUUAAAGGGUGCGUAGGCGGAAUAUCAAGUCAGCGGUAAAAAUUCGGGGCUCAACCCCGUCGUGCCGUUGAAACUGAUGUUCUUGAGUGGGCGAGAAGUAUGCGGAAUGCGUGGUGUAGCGGUGAAAUGCAUAGAUAUCACGCAGAACUCCGAUUGCGAAGGCAGCAUACCGGCGCCCAACUGACGCUGAAGCACGAAAGCGUGGGUAUCGAACAGGAUUAGAUACCCUGGUAGUCCACGCAGUAAACGAUGAA